This 363-nucleotide ribosomal RNA is filed under the name uncultured bacterium. Its description in RNAcentral is "partial 16S ribosomal RNA". It matches the Rfam family "Bacterial small subunit ribosomal RNA", at positions 338 to 698 of the family's 1533-position model. The record is from RNAcentral.
CCUACGGGUGGCAGCAGUGAGGAAUAUUGGUCAAUGGACGCAAGUCUGAACCAGCCAAGUCGCGUGCAGGAAGACGGCUCUAUGAGUUGUAAACUUCUUUUGUACGAGGGUAAACGCCGAUACGCGUAUCUUUCUGAAAGUAUCCUACGAAUAAGGAUCGGCUAACUCCGUGCCAGCAGCCGCGGUAAUACGGAGGAUUCAAGCGUUAUCCGGAUUUAUUGGGUUUAAAGGGUGCGUAGGCGGACGGUUAAGUUAGAGGUGAAAUUCUGAGGCUCAACCUCGUAAUUGCAUCUGAUACUGUUAGGCUAGAGAGUAGUAGAGGUAGGCGGAAGGUAUGGUGUAGCGGUGAAAUGCUUAGAGAUC